AUCAAGUGACCGGGCUUAUCUGGC
This 24-nucleotide non-coding RNA is filed under the name Arabidopsis thaliana (thale cress). The record is from RNAcentral. Lineage: Eukaryota; Viridiplantae; Streptophyta; Magnoliopsida; Brassicales; Brassicaceae.